This 439-nucleotide ribosomal RNA is filed under the name uncultured bacterium. RNAcentral describes it as "partial 16S ribosomal RNA". It matches the Rfam family "Bacterial small subunit ribosomal RNA", at positions 339 to 795 of the family's 1533-position model. The record is from RNAcentral.
CUACGGGUCCCAGCAGUGAGGAAUAUUGCACAAUGGGGGGAACCCUGAUGCAGCAACGCCGCGUGGAGGAUGACGCAUUUCGGUGUGUAAACUCCUUUUAUAUGUCAAGAAAAUGACGGUAGCAUAUGAAUAAGCACCGGCUAACUCCGUGCCAGCAGCCGCGGUAAUACGGAGGGUGCAAGCGUUACUCGGAAUCACUGGGCGUAAAGGACGCGUAGGCGGGUUGGAAAGUCAGGUGUGAAAUCCUACAGCUUAACUGUAGAACUGCACUUGAAACUUCUAAUCUAGAGUUUGGGAGGGGGAGAUGGAAUUAGUGGUGUAGGGGUAAAAUCCGUAGAUAUCACUAGGAAUACCUAAAGCGAAGGUGAUCUCCUGGAACAUUACUGACGCUAAGGCGUGAAAGCGUGGGGAGCAAACAGGAUUAGAUACCCGGGUAGUC